Molecule: ribosomal RNA, 818 nt
Filed under: uncultured Actinomycetes bacterium
Lineage: Bacteria; Bacillati; Actinomycetota; Actinomycetes
Description: bacterial SSU rRNA
Rfam family: Bacterial small subunit ribosomal RNA
Source: RNAcentral
AAAGUUCCCUUCGGGGAGCGAGUAGAGUGGCGCACGGGUGAGUAACACGUAGGUAAUCUACCUUCGGAUGGGGAAUAACAACCGGAAACGGUUGCUAAUACCGCAUAAUGCAGCGGCACCUAAUGGUGACAGUUGUUAAAGCGGGGAUCGCAAGACCUCGCGUCUGAAGAGGAGCCUGCGGCAGAUUAGCUAGUUGGUAAGGUAAUGGCUUACCAAGGCGUUGAUCUGUAGCCGGCCUGAGAGGGCGGUCGGCCACACUGACACUGACAUACGGGUCAGACUCCUACGGGAGGCAGCAGUCGGGAAUUUUGGGCAAUGGGCGAAAGCCUGACCCAGCAACGCCGCGUGAAGGAUGAAAUCCUUCGGGAUGUAAACUUCGCAAGAACGGGAAGAAUAAGUAAGGGUUAAUAUCCCUUACGAUGACGGUACUGUUUGUAAGCUCCGGCUAACUCCGUGCCAGCAGCCGCGGUAAUACGGGGGGAGCAAGCGUUGUUCGGAUUUACUGGGCGUAAAGGGCGCGUAGGCGGCCACCGCAAGUCAGUUGUGAAAUCUCUGGGCUUAACCCAGAAAGGUCAACUGAUACUGCGGGGCUAGAGUGCAGAAGGGGCAACUGGAAUUCUCGGUGUAGCGGUGAAAUGCGUAGAUAUCGAGAGGAACACCUGCGGCGAAGGCGGGUUGCUGGGCUGACACUGACGCUGAUGCGCGAAAGCUAGGGGAGCGAACGGGAUUAGAUACCCCGGUAGUCCUAGCCUUAAACGAUGAAUGCUAGGUGUCUGGGGUUUUAUAGUCCCCGGGUGCCGUCGCUAACGCUUUAAGCA